RNAcentral lists this ribosomal RNA (383 nucleotides) under uncultured eukaryote. RNAcentral describes it as "partial 18S ribosomal RNA". It matches the Rfam family "Eukaryotic small subunit ribosomal RNA", at positions 592 to 976 of the family's 1831-position model. The record is from RNAcentral.
CAAUAGCGUAUAUUAAAGUUGUUGCAGUUAAAAAGCUCGUAGUUGGAUUUCUGGUAGGAGUGACCGUUCCGAACUUGAUUGUUCGUGUAUUGUGUUUUCUCCAGCCAUCCUUGUGGAGAACUUUUCUUGCAUUAAUUUGUAGGGAUUGGGACCCGCAUCGUUUACUGUGAAAAAAUUAGAGUGUUUAAAGCAGGCAAUCGCUUGAAUACAUUAGCAUGGAAUAAUAAGAUAGGACUUUGGUACUAUUUUGUUGGUUUGCAUACCAAAUUAAUGAUCAACAGGAACAGUUUGAGGAUAUUCGUAUGAACAUGUCAGAGGUGAAAUUCUUGGAUUUUGAUCAGACGAACUACUGCGAAAGCAUUUACCAAGGAUGUUUUCAUUAA